Molecule: non-coding RNA, 28 nt
Filed under: Cricetulus griseus (Chinese hamster)
Lineage: Eukaryota; Metazoa; Chordata; Mammalia; Rodentia; Cricetidae
Source: RNAcentral
UAGAGGGCAGCAGUGGCAGAUGGUUACC